ACAAGGAAGGCAGAUCAAGGGAUGGGGAUGCAGAACCCCGGGUACCCUCAGCAGAAGAGGCGCUUCUGACAUCCCCCCUCCUGGGCACUAACAGAUAUAAAUGUACUCACAACAUCGUCAUGUAUGUGCGUCAGCCAGAUAGAUAUACAUUGUCUGGUGGUCGUCUAAGCCUGUUGUUGUUAUUGUUGCUGUAGAUUUAUAGUGCUUAUCUACUAGCUUGGUAAGUUAAAGUAGCUGUAAGGGUCAUUGUAGAGGAAAUUUGGAUAAUUUCCUUUCACAGUGGCUGAGUUAAGCUGGUGAUUAGGGCGGCGCCGCCGCGCUGAGGAAGGGGCCGUGGACGAGGCCCGGUGUAGUGAAGCCAGCAGAACAUGUACAGCUUUGAUUAGUACUGAUACAUGCAUUUUCGCCUCACCGUCACCGACGCCUCCUCCCUCUGGUCCAAGGCAGCCAUCGUGGUGAGUUCGAGCAGGCAGCGGGUGGCAGGCAGUGUGAGCGGCCUCCUCAAGCUCGGUGUCAUCGUGGAGAUCGAGUUUCGUAGCCUCCUCGCGCUAAGAAUGAAUGAGAGUGUUUGCAAAUGUAGUUAAUUUGGUCAAUCUUGCCUGAAGAUUCAUGGUGACCUUGUUCAUGUCAAAGGUAUCUCCCUUCUGAAUAUCACUUUUUUUUUGUAGUUUUCUAAAAUUUUAAAUGUGAUCCUUUUCUUUUGAAUGUCAUAAUGGCCUUUGAUACCACACAACUCUUGCCCCAUCUUAAGUUUGACAACCUUUUGAGUUGCUGAUAUUGGUACUUGAGCAGCAAUUAUUGUUUUUAGGCCUGAGAAAAUCAAAGUCACUCAUUAUGAGAUAUUGUAAAUAUGUUACGGAUUCAUAUAUCAAGUAUUUAUCAGGUAGCAGAACAAUCUAUUUGUUUCCUUUGGUAUUCUCUGCUUUGGUAAUAUCAUAUGGCAUUGAACUUGGUCUUUAUUUUAAGCGCAUGUCCUUAUUGGUAAAACUUAGUUGUAUGCCAAUGGCUCCAUCCACCAGCUUGAAUUUUCUCGAUUCAUUCAGGCUUUAUCUCCAGAGAUUUUGGCAUGUCCAGUUAUUCUUCUUCAGCAUUGAUUUUUGUGAAUUAACUCAGUGUGUACCUCGCUCCAAAGAUUUUGGCAUGUUUUGUAAUUAUUCCAGAGCAUAUUGAUUUUUUUGUAUUCAAUCUGACUUUACCUCCAGAUAUUUUGGCAUGUUUAGUACUUCAGUUAUGCUUCUCGAGCAACAUUGGAAUGGUUCUCAAACUACCUAUCUUGUGAUCACUUGAGCUUUGGUGAAAACUAGAGUGCAGCUUAAUUUGUCAAUAUAUUAAUUCAUGCAGUGGAGAAGGUAUGCCAAACAUAUUUGAUCAUUUCAGCAUUUAUGAACAAUAUAUAUGGCACUUAAACAAUGUAGAUUUGCUGAUAUUGUUCAGUGUACAUCUGUGUAUGCAUAUUAAUGAGCUCCAUAAAAUUGUGGUACAUGAAAUAAAUGCGAGAGAUAUGAAAUAACCAGGUUGUGGUACAUCUCUUCUCAAUUUUUUGCCCAUUUAGACUAUCUCGAAUGCAAUCUACCAUCAGGAUAUUGGCAUCUCAUCAUCUACUACUAUUCAACGAUUUGUCGAUUUUAUGUCUCUGUAGGUAUUGUAAGGUUUUUCAGUCGUGCGGCAUGUCUUCAUUACUUACCAUUUUCUAUCAUUUUCUAUUGCUAUAUACUCCCUUUGUCUCACAUUUUCUUUUGCUAUAUAGCUUGUCAAAAUCUUGUAUUUUUGUUGUUUCUUUGUUGAUUAGGUAGUAUGCGGCAUCUUCUUUUAAGCAUUUUAUUGGGCCUUAUUGGAUGUUCUUUCCUACUCCCUCCGUUCCUAAAUACUUGUCUUUUUAGAGAUUAAAAUGGACUAUCACAUACGGAUGUAUAUAGACAUAUUUUAGAGUGUAGGUUCACUCAUUUUGCUCCGUAUGUAGUCACUUGUUGAAAUCUCUAGAAAGACAAAUAUUUAGGAACGGAGGGAGUAGAUGUUUGUUCGUUUACUAGACAGUAUGCUACCAUGUUCUAUCAUGCGUACAAUUUGUGUGUGUGCCGUCUACCGUGUAACACUGUGUGUUACUUGUCCCAUUUUGUUUGUGCCAGUGCCUUUAAAUGUAUAUGUACUAAAGUUAGUCGAGUACAGUUACUAUCGAAUGGCACAACAUUUUGAUGCCUUACGGUUAAAAAGCUUAUAUCCUUUUGGUGUUUGCAAGGGGUCUGCUUGUGUUGCAUUUUCUACACCUGAGAAAGCAUCUCAGGCUGUAAGUUUGCAUAGCCUGAUUGUACUAUAUGUACUUAUGUUGCAUUUAUGAUGCCUUUAAUACGAUCCUAUCAAGGGUCCAGUUGUAUUUUGUUUGUAUAAGCUGCGCUGUAGAGCUUUAUGAAGGAUUCAGGAGCCAAACUUGCAGACAUUUAUGCUCAGGUGCUUCCAGCUUUGCAUUCCUAUUAGAGUUUUGUGGGGUAUGUUGGUUUGGUUUGGAUAUGCAGACUACAACAUAAAGAGAAGGAUACUAUUUUGUGUGGGUCAUCUAGCUUGGGCAUAGUAUGGGGUACUUGUGUUCUGUUUUUUUUUAUUUACAAAUGAACAUUGCCACUAACACAGAUUGACUAUUUAACCAACGUGAUUUAUUUCAUUCCAGUUGAUGCAAUGCAUUAGGUUGUGGUCUUUGUUAAGCAUGUGCACAGAAGUGUGAAGAGACCAAUUUUUUGUUUUUUUGUCGAUCCAGAGUGAUCACCUAUUGGUUUUGCACUGCAUCAACACUUUGUGACUUUUUCUUGUUAUCCCUUUGUUAAGUGGCCCUCCUGAAGGAGUCUAUAUGUCAAACCUUCUGAAGGCCCUCUGGAAUAUUAACUUCACCAAUAUAUAACAUGAAUCUUAAGGAAGCAUUUUGGAGUUUGGGCAGCAAGCUUGAAGGUGAUUUCGUUUACCAAUAAUUGAGCAUGUGGUCUGAGAAUGAGCAAGGACAAAAAUAUUCUUAGUGGGUGACAGCGAAGGUGUUUAACAAAUUGACAGGGGGUCUAGCUAAUAUAUACAAUGGCUUAGCUAGAUAAUUUAUAAUGUGUCAUGCGAAUUCUGUAGGUGCUGAUGUUUUUGUUUUUAGUUUUGAUCUAAAUGGCAUGAAAAAUGUUGAUUCAUUUCAAGCUUUCAGCCUCUCUACAGAAAAGAAAACAAAUAACUUUGACAACCAACUACUAUUAAUUUGCUAUUAGCAGAGGACCAACCUAUACUCUGUAGGAAGGGCGUUGAGGGGCUCCCACAAUACAAGGGCGCACAGCUCCACCUCAAGAGGCGCGCCAAGGGUGCGCCCCAACAUCUAGUUAGGAUGAAGCUACAAGCAAUAACUAGCUUUACAGUACAAUGUUAUAAGAGUCAACAACUAGAUUUACAGUACAAUGUUAGUAGUCUAGAAACUCUCGUGAACAAACAUAAUAUGAUCUGGAUCGUUGCUAUUUUCCUUCAUCGUAUUAUUAUUGAUAUAAUAUGCCUACCAGAUUAGGGUGUGGAGAAAUCAAUGAGAAACACUCUAAUUUCUCAGUUUUUUGGGUUCUCAGUAUGGUUUUGGUUGUCCGAGUUGUCGUGUUUGGUGUGUUUUGGUUGUCCAAGUUGUCUUGCUUCGUAUUGUUGACCCAAAUUGUGCUUGGUCGAUCUGUUUUUGUUGUCGUGUUGUUUCAUGGUUCUUUGAUGAAUCUGAUGCUGAUUGGAAGAGAAUCAUCCAGUACAAGUAUAGAGUGAAUACUCCUAACAUUCUUUGGGCAAAGGGAGAUGGUGGCUCUACCUUUUGGAAGAGCAUCACUUGGGCUUUAGCUGCUGCUAAAAAUUUCUACAGAUGGAAAUUAGGCAAUGGUGAAUUAAUUAGCUUCUGGCACGAUACCUGGGUUGGGGAAUGUUCCCUGAAGGUGCAAUUCUGGGACUUGUACUGUAUUUGUAACCAAACGGAAUGUACUGUGCCUCAGGUGUGGGACGGUCGAGAACUUAAGUUGUCUUUUAGAAGAUGUGUAGAUCAAAAUGGGAUGAACAGAUGGGAUGUGCUGUCUAGGAUUGUUCAACAGUGCAUUUUAUCAGAUGAACCUGAUAUGCCAAUUUGGUCCUUAGAGCCUAAUGGUUUAUACUCUGUGAAAUCCUUUUAUAAAAGUAUAAACUUUGGGGGGAUAGCUUCUGCUAUCAAAGAUGAUCUUUGGAAAAUCAUAUGCCCUCAGAAAAUACAUGUAUUUUUGUGGCUGUGUGCUCAUAAUAAAAUCCUGACCAGGGAUAACCUUUCCAAAAGAAGGGAGGUUGAAGAUCCUUCAUGUCUAUUUUGUGCAGAGCCCGAGUCUGUUCAACAUCUGAUGUUUGACUGUGUAGUUGCUCGACAUGUGUGGAGAUUUGUAUCCGACUUCUUUGAAAUUGAUAGAAUUGCUAGCUUUGAUGAUAUUUUUGCUUUCUGGCAAGUACAUAAGAAAAAGCCUGUGUUUAACAUGGUUAUUGCUGCUUCCUUAUGGAGCUUGUGGAGACUAAGAAAUGGUUUCUGUUUUCAGGGGCAGAAAUGGAGAGACGUGAACUGCAUUCUUACAAAGCUAAGCUGUUAUUUGCACCAGUGGAAGGUUCUCUGCGACGAUGCUCAAGCAAUUCUGCUGCAAAGGUGCAUCCUCCUGCUGGACAAAUGGCAUGGAGAGCUGAUGCGGAUAGCCUGGAAGUGAGUUGUGGGAGGAGGGCAUGAGAGCCGCGCGAGUCAAAGAUUCUGCUUUGUUUCCUUCUCUCUUCUGUUCUGGUUAUGUAAUAAGUACUACCUAGUAUUUUCUUCAUGUUUCGGUGGAGAGAACUUCUGCUCUCGAGCGCUAGGUAGCGUAGCCUCCUGGUGUGUUGCUUUAGUCGUACUUUGAUCUGGUUGUGACUGCUGUUUUCUGCUUCAAUCUAUAAAAUUGGGGCCGGGGGGGCAA
Triticum aestivum (bread wheat) is the source of this 4940-nucleotide long non-coding RNA. RefSeq lists it as uncharacterized. The record is from RefSeq and is a predicted model, not a curated record. The transcript has 2 exons. NCBI's taxonomy places the organism in Eukaryota, Viridiplantae, Streptophyta, Magnoliopsida, Poales, Poaceae.